AGUGAACGCUGGCGGUAGGCCUAACACAUGCAAGUCGAACGGCAGCACAGAGGAGCUUGCUCCUUGGGUGGCGAGUGGCGGACGGGUGAGGAAUACAUCGGAAUCUACUCUGUCGUGGGGGAUAACGUAGGGAAAUUUACGCUAAUACCGCAUACGACCUGCGGGUGAAAGCAGGGGACCUUCGGGCCUUGCGCGAUUGAAUGAGCCGAUGUCGGAUUAGCUAGUUGGCGGGGUAAAGGCCCACCAAGGCGACGAUCCGUAGCUGGUCUGAGAGGAUGAUCAGCCACACUGGAGCUGAGACACGGUCCAGACUCCUACGGGAGGCAGCAGUGGGGAAUAUUGGACAAUGGGCGCAAGCCUGAUCCAGCCAUACCGCGUGGGUGAAGAAGGCCUUCGGGUUGUAAAGCCCCUUUGUUGGGAAAGAAAUCCAGCUGGCUAAUACCCGGUUGGGAUGACGGUACCCAAAGAAUAAGCACCGGCUAACUUCGUGCCAGCCGCCGCCGUAA
Molecule: ribosomal RNA, 506 nt
Filed under: uncultured bacterium
Lineage: Bacteria
Description: partial 16S ribosomal RNA
Rfam family: Bacterial small subunit ribosomal RNA
Source: RNAcentral